This 915-nucleotide long non-coding RNA is filed under the name Nicotiana benthamiana. Its description in RNAcentral is "long non-coding RNA (NBEN_LNC008814)". Lineage: Eukaryota; Viridiplantae; Streptophyta; Magnoliopsida; Solanales; Solanaceae. The record is from RNAcentral.
UGAAGUAAAAGGAUGGCAUUAAUGCCUUGACACCACUACUGCCCUGCAGAAUUGCCUAGAACACCCGUUUAAACUGAAAUUGAAAUUGAAGUUGAAACAGGCAUCACUUGUUGACUUCUAGAUCAAAUACGAGUUCAACCUUAUCCUGAUUUUAUAUUCUUAACCCACUAUUACAGUGAAACCAACAUUACAUCUACAACUAACAACCACCAAUUAACAGCCCUAAGCAGUCCGAUUUAAGUACAAUUUCACAGUACAAAAUAGUAGAAGUAAUCCUAAUUAGACAGUCCUAGCUUGAUACAAACCAAACACAAUAAAGCUAACAAUUACAAAUCAUAAAAUGAUGAAGUCAAUAAGGCCAAAUCCUGAAGCUGAAGGCGUAAACAAAAUGGACUAAACAUAGUAGAAAAUUCAGCUAGCAUCAGAAGGCGAUUGUAUUUCCGUUUCAUCAUAGAUUACAUCAAAAUAAAAUUCGAGUGUGUACCUGGAAUUACAAUGAGAUGGAGGGAGAAGUUAGUGACAGAAUAGCAGGCAGCAGUAGUUUUAGAAUUUAAAACGAGAACCAAUCCAACUUCAAUUCAGAAAUAGAUCAGGAGUCCAAGAGUGUUUAGAAAUCAACAAAGCUAACAAACCAAUCUCAAAACCAAUUUGAAACGACCCAAAAUCACUCGAAACCCCACCAGUGAACUUCUGACAUUUUUACCACCAGAAAUUGAACUAGAUAAGUGUAAAUCAAUAGCUAAACAGUAAAACUCAACUAGAACUUAGAUAGAGCAGUAUUUUUUUGAUUUUUUGGAGAUUUUCUAUUAUUUUUGUAGUUUGGAGUUUGAAAUUAAAAUCAUAGAUCUGAAAAUUGAAGAACACACUUUGGGGGGGAUUUCUGACGCUCCCAACUUGUUAAACAAGGCAGGUUGA